This 192-nucleotide non-coding RNA is filed under the name Paramaledivibacter caminithermalis. RNAcentral's name for it is "Clostridium caminithermale Lysine sequence". It matches the Rfam family "Lysine riboswitch aptamer". Rfam says of the family: Riboswitches are metabolite binding domains within certain messenger RNAs that serve as precision sensors for their corresponding targets. Allosteric rearrangement of mRNA structure is mediated by ligand binding, and this results in modulation of gene expression. This family includes riboswitches that sense lysine in a number of genes involved in lysine metabolism, including lysC. The record is from RNAcentral. Lineage: Bacteria; Bacillati; Bacillota; Clostridia; Peptostreptococcales; Caminicellaceae. RNAcentral also lists the same sequence under 1 other name.
UUGUGAUAUAGAGGCUGCAGUUUGCAAAGAGUACUUCAGAUUAAACUUUUGGGGAAAUUAUUUCUCUGUAGGAAAGGUGCGACUGCCGAAACACAUUUCUAACCCCAUAGUUAUGUGUUGGGACUAUGCUGAACAAGUAUAGUACUGUCCCCAAUAGAUUGCCCAGUCUAUUGAUGGUGUGCUAUUUCACAC